UUCUAACCAAAUUGCAAAUUUCGACAAGUUAGAAUGCCGUUUCCUGACCAUCAGAUUUCUGUCAAAUCUUCCCCCAAAGUCCAGGAAAUGGCGUUUCAGAGACUCUAAAUUCACAAAUAUUCCGGGGGGGCAUGCCCCCGGACCCCCCUAGACAAACCUCGCACCUGCGGCACUCGGCCCUCGUUUAUCAAGUGUAACAUUAUAGGGGCGCAUAUUGGCUGACAGCCCACUGGCCCCUCCAGAAAAAUAGUACCCAGCACGCCACUGAUUUCCCCGACUUAAAAAGGGGGAUAAAACUACCCAAAUCGCCAUUACAAUGGUCAACUGCCAACGACUUUUUCAAGUUAACUUUUUUGAAUCACCCAAUCACACCGGAUGAUCUAAAUAACAACAUCAAUACCAUGGUAACCG
This is a non-coding RNA of Paramuricea clavata, 411 nucleotides long. Lineage: Eukaryota; Metazoa; Cnidaria; Anthozoa; Malacalcyonacea; Plexauridae. The record is from the annotation of a GenBank genome assembly.